AUUGUACGGCGUAAGAAUGACUGGCCACAAAGAAUAUUGUCUACCAGACAUUCCAAAUGGACUAAAUCCAUCGGUGCAUAACCCAAGAUAGACAUUCCGAAUAUUUGUAGCAAAAUCUGUGUGUACCUUGUUGAAAUGUUUCCACGCUCUUGCGUCUGAUGGAUGUGCAACCUCACCAUCUCUCUGGACAUGUUCCGCAUGCCACCUCAUCG
RNAcentral lists this long non-coding RNA (212 nucleotides) under Brassica napus (rape). RNAcentral's name for it is "long non-coding RNA (BNAP_LNC012026)". Lineage: Eukaryota; Viridiplantae; Streptophyta; Magnoliopsida; Brassicales; Brassicaceae. The record is from RNAcentral.